Non-coding RNA from Marininema halotolerans, 116 nucleotides. The record is from Rfam. NCBI's taxonomy places the organism in Bacteria, Bacillati, Bacillota, Bacilli, Caryophanales, Thermoactinomycetaceae.
AAAAAAAAUAGCCCCCCAAUGUGGAGGACUCAUGGUAUCUGGGAUGACCCAGAUACUGAAUGGGAGAGGAGAAACCGGAGGAAGAGCUUAUGGGGAAACGUAAGUCUUCUCCGCGG